GUUAAAUGUAAUAGAACUACUGGCUAUUGGUCUAAGCUACUUGCCCUGAUAAUUCAGCCACAGAAUUAGUCCUGAACUCGGGGCUAGAACCAAGAACUUUUUUCCCACUAUUGAUGUUACACAGCUACUAUUUAUUUCAAUGUGCUCUCCUUACCCAAAAUGUAGCCCAUGAUUCAAACUUGUUACUCUUCAUGUCAAGUUCAUUUCUCAGGCCUUGUUGGAUCUGUGACCAGUCUUUGGAGUAAGAAUACCAAGAGCUCCAACCUAGGGAAAAAUGCUACUUAUUUGAGAUGGUCUAUGAUAUGAGACUGCUGGAUGGUGAAGUGAGCCAGAACUCAGGGAGCCACUGCAAGAGGGGAGCUCUUUUACAGAUGAGAAAACUGAGACAAAUAAGGUUAAAUGACUUGCCUAGGGGCAUAACUAUUAAUAUUUGAGACUGUAUUUGAUCUCAGGUCUUCCUGACUCCAGGACUGAUACUCUAUCCUUUGUGCGACAUGGUAGCCAAAGUACUCUUCAUUGGAAAACAUUUGUAACUUAUUUUCUAGUAGUUAAGACUAUGAUUUAUGGAAUUUGGAAUAUGGAUGUCAAAAUCUGAGCAUGAGUAAUGCAAAAAAAAGAUUUUAAAGAAUUAGUAUUUAAAUACAUUGUUUUCCAUGCUACAUUUAUAAAUAAACUAUCUAGAAACUGUUGUUGGCA
RNAcentral lists this long non-coding RNA (696 nucleotides) under Monodelphis domestica (gray short-tailed opossum). RNAcentral's name for it is "lncRNA (ENSMODG00000032652.2)". The record is from RNAcentral. Lineage: Eukaryota; Metazoa; Chordata; Mammalia; Didelphimorphia; Didelphidae.